AGUAUGAGAGGAAGAGGAGAUGAUGCAGCCAGAGCAGAGUGAGCAAAGCCGAGAGGAGAGGAGGGGACUGUCUCCUGAGUCUGCUGCCUGCUGCGUGGAGGCCGUGGGUUUUACUGAGACUCUGCACUCUUGUCCUCACAGAUGAGCAGGCAUGCUUCCGUACCUGCCGCCAGUGGCCCCUGGCUGAGCGCCCUCCUGUGCACCGUGUCCUCUCAGCUCCCAAAUACUCUCAUUAUUCCCACUAGUAGAUGAGAAAACUGAGGAAUGAGAUGGGAUUCAUCUGGAAAAAGGGCUCCCACGGGGCUGCCAUCGGGACAGCAGCCGCAGUCUUUGUCUUAUCUGAAGGCAUCCCGGGCUGGAGAGCCCACUUCUGCAAUGGCAUCCCACACCGCGGUUGGCCGAAGGCCUCAGUUUCUCCUCCACUGGUUCUCCGGAAGCCUACUUAAGUGUUCUCAUGACGUGGCUCUUUCUACAGUGACUGAUCAGAGAGCGACCAAAGCCGAAACUAUGGGGAUCUUUAUCACUAAGGUCUCUGAUGUCAGCAAGUCAACUGACAUCAGCCCACGCUCAGGGGAGGCAAAUUAGGACCCACUGCUGGAAGGAAGAGCAUCAGAGAAUUUGUGGACAGAUUUUUAAAACUGUGGCAACAGAUAAAGGGAUGGUGUACCCACUGUUCUUCCGUGAUGGUGGGAUCUUAGCAUGAUCUCAGCCCCACAGCCCGCUUGUGAAAUUCACCUGGGACGCUUCUAGAUGCUCUCUGAGCCAGGGCGCCAACCCCAGGCCCUCUGAAGGACUUGCUCAGAGCAGAGACUGGACCUUUGUGGGUUUGUUUUGUGGAAAGAUCUUAAACUGUAGCCGUAACAUUUCUGUUUCCACCGCAUUUUGUUACUGUAAAACGUGCACAUUGUAAAACAGACCGUUUUAGCCGCUUUCGAAGGUGUGGCUCGGUGACAAAGGGUUUAUUCAGGUGGUGGACCCCUCCCCUCCAGAAAUGUUCAUUUUCUGAAACCAAAGCCCUACCUGUUCAACCCCCACUCCCCACUCCUCCCUGCCCAGCCCACAGCGAGGCCAUGUUCCGUCUCUCCGAGUUCCCCCCGCUCUAGACCCAGCGGAGUGGAACCCCGGGGCCUCGGGCUUGAUUGACUUAGUUAGCACAGUGACGUCGUUGUAGGCACGUCAGAGCUUCAUUGCUGUUGCAGCUGAAUAACCUUCCAUUGUCCGAGUGGACCCCGUUUUGUUUAUGCAUUGUCUGUCGGUGGGCGAUGAGACCGUAUCCACGCUGGUCUCGUCAAGGCUCCCAGGUGAUUCUGAUGAGCUACCAGGGAUGAAAAACAAGGCCUCAGACGAGUGCCUCGCAGUCCUGGCUGCACGUGCCAAUCACCUGGUAGUGGUUCAAAAAAUACCAACGCCCGGUGAGCCUGGCCGACCCCCUGGAUCAGGAUCUCUGGCAGGGGGACUGGGGAGUCUGUAAGAAUAACCCAAUUCCUUCCCCUAGAACGCCAGGGGGUGCGGACUCAUUGCCAAGCCUCUGCUGCCCCCUGGUGGCAGCACCUGGGAUCCUCCCUCCACCCCGGGACUCGCCUACCUGCUCACAAGGAGUCCAGGAGGGCCAGGCCCCCACCCAUGCCAUUCCCUGGGGGUCUGGGGAUCCUGUGAGGCUCUACCCGGCCCCACUCCCCCACUAUCUCCUGGGUUCCCUGUCUAGAAGAACAGAGGAGUCUAUUAGAGAGGAGAAGGCACAGACAGGUGGAGGACUCCACUUUGCUGCUUGCCGGCUGCAUGACCUUGAACAAGCCAUUUCAUCCAUGCUGGGGGGACGACCACAAGUCCCUGAGAUCAGAGUUACGGAAACCCUACAAAACCACCUCAGUGGAGAGCCACUGCCCCUCGAGUGUGUGAUGCCUACA
Molecule: long non-coding RNA, 1907 nt
Organism: Mustela erminea (ermine)
Lineage: Eukaryota; Metazoa; Chordata; Mammalia; Carnivora; Mustelidae
Exons: 3
Source: RefSeq, a predicted model, not a curated record